Molecule: ribosomal RNA, 426 nt
Filed under: uncultured bacterium
Lineage: Bacteria
Description: partial 16S ribosomal RNA
Rfam family: Bacterial small subunit ribosomal RNA
Source: RNAcentral
GUGAGGAAUUUUCCGCAAUGGGCGAAAGCCUGACGGAGCAAUGCCGCGUGAAGGAUGAAGGCCUAUGGGUUGUAAACUUCUUUUCUCAGAAAAGAAUUAUGACGGUAUCUGAGGAAUAAGCAUCGGCUAACUCUGUGCCAGCAGCCGCGGUAAGACAGAGGAUGCAAGCGUUAUCCGGAAUGAUUGGGCGUAAAGCGUCUGUAGGUUGUUUAAAAAGUAUUCUGUCAAAGAUUAGGGCUUAACCCUAGAUAGGCAGAAUAAACUUUUAAGCUAGAGUUUGGUAGAGGCAGAGGGAAUUCCCGGUGGAGCGGUGAAAUGCGUAGAUAUCGGGAGGAACACCAAAGGCGAAGGCACUCUGCUGGGCCAAUACUAACACUGAGAGACGAAAGCGAGGGGAGCAAAUGGGAUUGGAAACCCCUGUAGUCC